RNAcentral lists this long non-coding RNA (1145 nucleotides) under Marmota monax (woodchuck). The record is from RNAcentral. Lineage: Eukaryota; Metazoa; Chordata; Mammalia; Rodentia; Sciuridae.
ACCCGGCAUUGUCUAACCACUUAGCUGCAUCCCCAGCCCUUUUUGAUUUUUUUAUUUUGAGACUGGGUCUUGCUAACUUGCUGAGGCUGGCCUCAAACUUGCAAUCCUCCUGCCUCAGCCUCCCAAGUCACUGAGCUCACAGGCGUGGGCCACCAUGCCCAGCUCUGUGUAUUCUCUACCUACCUAUCCAUUCCUGCUGAUCUAUCUGCUGUCCAUCUACCUGUGCAUCUACCUAUGUGUCCAUCCAUCCAUCCACCCAUGUACAACGGGAGAGAGACGAGUUGAAGGCAUUGCUCAUGUGGUGGUCGGGGGGCUGUCAGGUCAAGUUUGCAGGCAGCCUGCAGGUUUGGAAGUGGGGAGCUGACUGGCCUCUGAACCCAGAGGGCAGCAGGCUGGGACCCUGGCAGGAUUCCUCUCCUGCGGUCUUGUUUUUAGUUCUUGCUGUUGCUGUGGGAUGGGUCUUGCCUGUUGCCAGGCUGGUCUUGAGCACCUGGGCUCAAGGGAAGGCAAUAAAGGGGUCCUCCUGCAGGACAGUUCCAGAAGGUCUUGCUGACCCUGCACUCCCCCGUUCAAGAGGAGCUGUCGGGCAGCUGGACUCUGCUCCUGCCAUCCUAGGACAGGGCAUCCUUGAAGUCCUGGGAGCAGGUGGCCCUGAUGGACUGCUUGUGGGACCCUCAGCUGCAGCACAGUGUGGGGACAUGCAGACCAGGUGGCGGGGAGGGAGGGGACCGAGGGAGUCAGUGAUCAGGCGACUGCUCUGGGCAAUGGGGCUCAAUUCCACGGAGCCCCUCAGAGUUGCUAUGCUGAACACACUGGGACCUGCCCCGGGUGUCCAGGAGCACCCGCGGACGCCUCUCCAGGAGUGAACGCCCAGCGCUCUGGGCAGGCCCCACACACUCAGUCAGAAAGGUCCUUGGGAGAUGCUGGCACUAUCUGAGGUGGCCUUUGGGCUGUCCCGAGGAAUCUGGGUGGGGACUGAGGUCACGUGUCCAGCCCCUGCCUGGCCUGCUUUCAGCACCAAGGAGAGCGACCAAGGGCUCCAGCACCCCGCCUGCAGGGUCCCAGCCUGGGGAUCCCCCAGAGGCUGCAGGCCGGCUCUGCUUGGGUCUGCAGGUCACCCCGAGGGGAGGACAGCAUUGUUCGCC